This 460-nucleotide ribosomal RNA is filed under the name uncultured bacterium. RNAcentral's name for it is "partial 16S ribosomal RNA". It matches the Rfam family "Bacterial small subunit ribosomal RNA", at positions 338 to 795 of the family's 1533-position model. The record is from RNAcentral.
CCUACGGGAGGCAGCAGUGAGGAAUAUUGGUCAAUGGGCGCGAGCCUGAACCAGCCAAGUAGCGUGAAGGAUGACUGCCCUACGGGUUGUAAACUUCUUUUAUAAAGGAAUAAAGUGAGGCACGUGUGCCUUUUUGUAUGUACUUUAUGAAUAAGGAUCGGCUAACGCCGUGCCAGCAGCCGCGGUAAUACGGAGGAGCCGAGCGUUAUCCGGAUUUAUUGGGUUUAAAGGGAGCGUAGAUGGGUUGUUAAGUCAGUUGUGAAAGUUUGCGGCUCAACCGUAAAAUUGCAAUUGAUACUGGCAGUCUUGAGUACAGUUGAGGUAGGCGUAAUUCGUUGUGUAGCCGUGAAAUGCUUAGAUAUCACGAAGAACUCCGAUUGCGAAGGCAGCUUACUAACCUGCCCCUGACAUUGCUGCUCGAAAGUGUGGGUAUCAAACAGGAUUAGAUACCCGGGUAGUC